Molecule: microRNA precursor, 207 nt
Organism: Oryza sativa Indica Group (long-grained rice)
Lineage: Eukaryota; Viridiplantae; Streptophyta; Magnoliopsida; Poales; Poaceae
Rfam family: MIR812 microRNA precursor family
Source: Rfam
UUUAAGUGCAAUUAUGGGUUUUCAUGUACAAUGUUUGAUUGUCCGUCUUAUUUAAAUUUUUUUAUGACCAGUAGUUUUAUUGUUAUUAGAUGAUAAAAUAUAAAUAGUACUUCGUGAGUGACUUAUUCUUUUAAAUUUUUUCAUAAUUUUUUUUAAAUAAGACGAAUGGUUAAAUAUUGGACACGAAAACCUACAAUUACAAUUAAA